UUUAUAUUCCCUCUGUCCUAAAAUAAGUGUCUCAACUUUGUACUAAAUAACUGUCUCAAGCUUAGUACAACUUUGUACUAGAUCUAAUACAAAGUUGAGACACUUAUUUUAGGACGGAGGGAAUAUAUA
This 129-nucleotide microRNA precursor is filed under the name Hordeum vulgare. RNAcentral's name for it is "microRNA MIR1122". It matches the Rfam family "MIR1120/MIR1122 microRNA precursor family". The record is from RNAcentral. Lineage: Eukaryota; Viridiplantae; Streptophyta; Magnoliopsida; Poales; Poaceae.